GGUCGCUCACAGCCCCGCGGGUCACUCGGGCCCGGGGGUCACUCGGGCCCGGGGGUCACUAGGACCCGGGGGUCACUCGCGGCCCGGGACGUCCGGGGCCCAUGCUGCGCACACCGCGCCGACCGGAAGCAGGAGCGCAGGGCCGGACGCAGAGAGCGCGGAGCGCGCCCCCUCGCGGGCCCGCCCUGGCACUGCCGAUGCCUCCCACCGGUGCGGGACCGCGGGCGGCGCCGUUCAUCGGGAGAGAGACGGAAAGCACCGGGCAGCUGUGGGAGGGGCACCCGUGCCCGGGGUGCACUGAGCAACGGGCAAGGAACGCCCCGGGCACUGGGCAGCGGGCACGGAACGCACCGGGCAAGGAGCGCCCCGGGCACUGGGCACCGGGCACGGAGCGCCCCGGGCUGUGGGCACCGGGCGGCCCCGGCGCGGUAAGCGGGCUGCAGGGCGCAGUCUCGGUGCGGGGCAUCCGUUCGGGCCGGGCCCUGCCCCGAGCUGCCCGGCCGGAGGUGGCGCUGCUGGCUGCGCGCUGAGGGCGCCCGGCCGUGCUGAGGAGCGGCGGGCAGGGCCGCGGGGUCUGUGGCGGCCGCGGUGAGUGAUGCUCUUCAGGACUUUACUGGAGAGAACUUGGACCAGAGGAUCUGGGGGAGGUCCCAAUGUGCUGAUAUUUAUAGGAUGGAAAUGACAUAGGAUGUCUUGUGAAAUUGUUUGAUACUACAGUAUCAGCCCUGGACAGAAUAGUGGAAGGGUUGGCCACACAUUGUCAGAGGGAAUGAUGACUGCUGUUAGCUCUACAGUCAAUGUACAUUUCCAAGAAAUGUAAUUUAUGCCUGUUUGGAAUACCACCAGUGGAGGAGGACACUCUCAAGCUCCACAUCAAGGGAUGCCGAGCUCCACCUGCCUUUUUUUCAGUGGGAGCACUCUUCAUCUGCUCACUACCACAGAGCUCCCGUGCUCUUGCUGCUUUCCCUAUUUUAAGGACACAUUACCAAAUGUAUCUGUUGCAUUUACAUUCAGUGAUUCUCUGAAUUUUGUGAAUAAACAUGGAUUGUACUCAUGGCAUGGUAUUCCUGAUAAACUGACACUGCAUGUGCUGCUGUGUUGGAGGUAUGUCUGUGCUGUUCAGAGACCUUGAAACACUGGAUCAAUUUACUUUUGCUCUCUGUGAUGCCUUAAGUUUUAGAUUUCAUGUUUUCCAGAUUCUGUACUGCCUUAGUGUAUAACUCUGAACUUCAUAUAAAGUGUCAGCAGUUCUCCUCACAGCUCAGUCACACAAACCAAUCCUUUUCCAGCCCAGAACCAAGGAGCUUCAGCCCCAAAAAGUGCAAACAACAGGGAAUUGAGGAGGGCAGUCUGGGAAGAUGGGACUGCAUAGCCUGGAGCUGUAACUGGACAAUUAACCCCGAUAUGGAAAUGGACCAAACUUAUAAAAGUGUAAAAACUCUUGACCCAUCUUGGGUGGAGCCAUGGCCAGGCUCUUGUACUGCCCAAGGUGAUUCCUUUGAAGGCCUUUUAAUAAAUCCUUACUUUAUUCCUUUAACUCUGUCCAGCCUCUGUUCCAGGUCUGCCUCUCUAGGUAUCAUCUGUACAGGCUGAACUGCAGUUUGAGUUAUUGCACGGUGUGGACUUUGAUUCAAAGAGUUACUGAGCAAGACAGAAGCCUUUAACUUUCACUGAGGGAAGCUGAAGUUCCAAAAGUAACCUUUAUGUCUGUAUUUAGGGACCUGGUGUUUGGGGUGCUGUUCCUGCAGCUGCUGUGAUCAGCAUACUCAAGCCUCUCAGAGCUCCAUUUGUAUUUAAGAGAUAAAGACCCUGCCUUGUUCUUCUCUCCAAAUGCACAAGUUACACACUGUUUCACAGUUUCUUUGGUGACUUGAAAGCUUUCAAAAAUCUGUCUCUUCCAUUGUUUCCUCCUCACCUCUGUCUCAAUUCCCUGUCUGUAAAAUAGGGAUAAGAUCAAAUUUCCUACUCCAAGGGGAAAAACAUGAAGGAAAAAAAAAAAAAAAGGAUUUUUUGACACAUCAGAGAGAAGUGAUGUCGGUGAGAUAUUUUUCAGUAGUACAUGAAGAGCUCAUUAAAUGCUGAUCAGUGAUUAACUGAUCAACUUCUGACUUAAACUCUGUUGCUGCUUUUCCAAUAGAUGAUUGUCAGCAGUAGGGCUAUUUCCAGGAGAGUGGUACAGAGCACUUCAUGGGUACAGAUUGGUGUCUGUGUCCUGGAAAGCGGGAAUUACAGGAAUUAGUGAUUGUAUUAGGUGACCAAUAAAGUAGAGGUUCCACUUUAAUGAGACAGCUAGACCAAAAGGUGUUUUGAAGCAUAUAUGAAAAAAAGAAUAGAACUGUUGAAAGAUACCAAUAAUCAUCUAGUUCAACUGUAAGAAGGAUUGGCAUUACUUACGUUUAUUUCAUUAAAAUUGAUUACUGGCACUACGUCAGUGUUGUGGGAUCAGCAUUUCAAACCUCUUUUGGUUGGGAGUUGAAAGGAGUUGUGAUUUGAGGUCACCCCUGUAUUCAGAGAUUGAGGGCACAGAGUCUCUUCAGUUGUAAAAUGGUUGUAAAACUGACUAGUAUGGAUCUACAACAAGACUUUCAGAAAAAGAAAUCCAAUCUGUAAUUGGACUGUGAGCAGAUUUUGUCAAGCUCCCAGCUACAUGAUGCAGCUACUCUGCUGGCAGCUGACAUUAUUUCCUACCAAUUUCCUGAUGUUUCAAGGAUCACCAGUAUUGUAAUGUUUGUCAGCAGACGUAGUGCUGCUUUCCCCAAGUUAGAAUUCCCCAUCCACAUGAUGUUUAAACCAGAAUCACACAUACCCAUUUAUUCCCAAGAGGCUUAGAUGGACAGGAUAGCACAGGGAAAGUCCUUCAGUGUUGUGGCUCCCAGUUCUGCAACAUCUCACAGUUUCAUCCUGCUGUCAUUUCUGCUUCCAGGGUCUCCUAACCUGACACAGACAUCUACUCAGUCUCCAGGGAGUCUCUGGUCUAUGAGUUUGGCCUUACAGCAUCUGAGCCACAAUGUCAUCACCUUGGGGCCCCACACAUGGAUGGCAAGGGAGGAAACAGGAUAAAUUGUGCUGGCCCCUGCUUUCUUGUGGUUUGUCAAAUCCAGGAUGAAUGGAGAACGUUCAGCUGCUUAAGAUCAUAUUUUGCCUUCAUUAAGGAACCACAGAACCUGGAAUGGGACAACCAUCAGUACCAGUGGAGGCUGGGGAUGGAGAGACUGAGAGCAGUCCUGCCAAGCCUGGCGAUACCAGUGGAUGGAGCACUGGCUGUGAGCUGGCAGCCCAGAAAAUCCAUCGGGGCUGGGGCCAGCUCCAGGGCAGUGAUUCUCCCCUUCUCUGCCCAGGUGAGACUGCCUCCAGCUCUGGGGACCAGCAGGAAGGACAUGGAGCUGUGGUGGGAGCCCAGAGGAGGCCACGGAGAUGGUCCCAAGGCUGGAGCCCCUCUGCUGUGGAGACAGGCUGGGAGAGCUGGGGGAGCUCAGCCAGGAGAGGAGGGGGCUCCACCUUGUCACAACUUUUCAAUACUUAAAGGAGGCUUAUGAGAACAACAAAGAUACUUCUUACCAAGACCUGCAGUACCAGGACAUGGAAUAAUGGUUUAAAACUAAAAGAGGGUAGAUUUUGACAUAGCAGAGACGUGUUCACAUAAUUAAGGUUGGGGUUUUUUUUUGUUUGCAAUCCAUGAUGAUGUAACACUGAAUAUUCUUAUCCUUGAAAAACUCUAAUCAUUGAAUCUUCUUGACCCUUUUGUUUAACUGUAUCUUUUAAUUAUAAGAUCUACAAUUGAAACGCACGUAUAACUGUGGGUUUUAUGUUCAGAACUGUGGGAUUUAAAUGACUCAGUGAUGCAGUUGCUAGCAGUCAUAAAUCCCAAACCAACAGAAAGAGUACUGUGAAUUGGACUGUCAUCUUGUAAAACACGUGCCAUAGAACUUCACUGAAUUAUCUUUUUCUUGAUUUAAUAACAUAUAUUAGGGGAAAAAACCCUAACCCACAAAUAAAACCCACCAAAACACAAACAAAAAAUUAAAACAAAACAGAACAAAAAGAAACCCAAAGCAAAGCCCCUCACAAGCAUGCUUUCACUGAGAAGUUACCAGUCGCCAGAAAUUUACAACAUCAUUAGUUAAGUUGCUCAUAUUGUUAAUUACUUCGGCUGUUAAAUUAUGUAUCCUGAUUUUGAGCUGAAUUGGUCUGUCUUAUAAGAUUGCAUCCAGGACAGUUUUGCAUUCUGUUACAUUCAAUCUAAAAGACUGGUAAUUGUUCAAAACACUUUUUAAGAAAUCUUCCCUAAAUAUAUCUACUGCAUUGGAUAUUUACCAAAUAUUUAACCUCUAAUAUGGUAGAAUUGAUUAAAAAUUGUUUCCAUUAUCAAUUGCUGCAGUUAUGUAUGCUCAUUCUGUCCAUUCUGGAAUG
Pyrgilauda ruficollis (rufous-necked snowfinch) is the source of this 4410-nucleotide RNA transcript. RefSeq lists it as uncharacterized. Lineage: Eukaryota; Metazoa; Chordata; Aves; Passeriformes; Passeridae. The record is from RefSeq and is a predicted model, not a curated record. The transcript is spliced from 4 exons.